UACGUAUGCAGCAAACGUUGUUCGGAAUUACUGGGCGUAAAGAGUGUGUAGGCGGUUUCGUAAGUUUGGUGUGAAAUCUCCCGGCUUAACUGGGAGGGUGCGCCGAAAACUGCGAGGCUUGAGUACUGGAGAGGAGAGCGGAAUUCCUGGUGUAGCGGUGAAAUGAGUAGAUAUCAGGAGGAACACCGGUGGUGUAGACGGCUCUCUGGACAGUCACUGACGCUGAGACACGAAAGCGUGGGGAGCAAACAGG
RNAcentral lists this ribosomal RNA (253 nucleotides) under uncultured bacterium. RNAcentral's name for it is "partial 16S ribosomal RNA". It matches the Rfam family "Bacterial small subunit ribosomal RNA", at positions 524 to 776 of the family's 1533-position model. The record is from RNAcentral.